Molecule: ribosomal RNA, 975 nt
Filed under: human gut metagenome
Description: bacterial LSU rRNA
Rfam family: Bacterial large subunit ribosomal RNA
Source: RNAcentral
AUAACGGUCCUAAGGUAGCGAAAUUCCUUGUCGGGUAAGUUCCGACCUGCACGAAAGGCGCAACGACUUGGGCGCUGUCUCGACCAUGGACCCGGUGAAAUUGCACUGGUCGUGAAGAUGCGACUUACCCGCGGAAGGACGGAAAGACCCCGUGAACCUUCACUGCAGCUUGGCAUUGGCCGCUGGUCCCGCGUGUAGAGGAUAGGCAGGAGGCACAGAUCCGGAGGCGCCAGCCCCCGGGGAGCCGCCCUUGGAAUACUGCCCUCGCGCGACCGGCGUCCUAACCCGAGGCCGUCAUCCGGCUCGGGGACCGUGCCAGGCGGGCAGUUUGACUGGGGCGGUCGCCUCCUAAAGGGUAACGGAGGCGCGCGAAGGUCCGCUCGGGACGGUCGGCAACCGUCCUUUUGAAUGCAAGAGUACAAGCGGGCUUGACUGCGAGGCCCACAAGCCGAGCAGGUGCGAAAGCAGGCUCUAGUGAUCCGGCGGCCCCGAGUGGGUGGGCCGUCGCUCAACGGAUAAAAGGUACUCCGGGGAUAACAGGCUGAUCUUGCCCAAGAGUCCACAUCGACGGCAAGGUUUGGCACCUCGAUGUCGGCUCAUCGCAUCCUGGGGCUGGAGCAGGUCCCAAGGGUACGGCUGUUCGCCGUUUAAAGCGGUACGCGAGCUGGGUUCAGAACGUCGUGAGACAGUUCGGUCCCUAUCCUCCGUGGGCGCAGGAGAAUCGAUGGAGGCUGCCCCCAGUACGAGAGGACCGGGGUGGACGCACCUCCGGUGAACCGGUUGUCGACCAACGGCACGGCCGGGUAGCCGCGUGCGGCGCGGAUAACCGCUGAAGGCAUCUAAGCGGGAAGCCGUUCCAGGGAUUAGUUCUCCUUCCGGUAAGGGCCCAGGUAGACUACCUGGUCGAUAGACGGCAGGUGCAAGGCUGGCGACAGCCUCAGCCGAGCCGCACUAAUCGCCCGAGCUCUUCCGGAA